Sander lucioperca (pikeperch) is the source of this 287-nucleotide long non-coding RNA. RefSeq lists it as uncharacterized. Lineage: Eukaryota; Metazoa; Chordata; Actinopteri; Perciformes; Percidae. The transcript is spliced from 3 exons. The record is from RefSeq and is a predicted model, not a curated record.
GCAACAAAGCAAUCAAGAAAAAGCUUUAGCAUAAAAGGGCAACAGGUGAGCUCUUCUGUUUUGGAAUUUUUUUUCUGCCUGGAGAUGGAAAGUGUAUGACCAAAAUCCACAAAUGCGUAUAACCCUUCUCCAAGCUAUGGAAGACGCAGAUGGAGAUAUAGCAGUUGAUGCUUUUCAUGGCUGGAUUCGCCAUGCUAGGCGAUAUUUCCCCCGCUGCUUGGCCAGGGAAAACAUUGCUUGUGAUGUGGAUGAGGUGCUGUGGCCUGAGCGAAACAGAAGAGAGGAUG